Molecule: unclassified non-coding RNA, 328 nt
Filed under: soil metagenome
Description: partial contains 5.8S ribosomal RNA, internal transcribed spacer 2, and large subunit ribosomal RNA
Rfam family: 5.8S ribosomal RNA (bases 1-119)
Source: RNAcentral
GAUGAAGACGCAGCGAAAUGCGAUAAGUAAUGUGAAUUGCAGAAUUCAGUGAAUCAUCGAAUCUUUGAACGCACAUUGCGCCCCUUGGUAUCCCGAGGGGCAUGCCUGUUCGAGCGUCAUUUCACCACUCAAGCCUGGCUUGGUGUUGGGCGACGUCCCCUUUGGGGACGCGCCUCGAAACGCUCGGCGGCGUGGCACCGGCUUUAAGCGUAGCAGAAUCUUUCGCUUUGGAAGUCGGGGCCCCGUCUGCCGGAAGACCUACUCGCAAGGUUGACCUCGGAUCAGGCAGGGAUACCCGCUGAACUUAAGCAUAUCAAUAAGCGGAGGA